GAAGCGGCAAAAGCUCAAAUUUGAAAUCUAGCACCUUCGGUGUUCGAGUUGUAAUUUGAAGAUGGUAACCUUGGGUUUGGCUCUUGUCUAUGUUCCUUGGAACAGGACGUCAUAGAGGGUGAGAAUCCCGUCUGAUGAGAUGCCCAUUCCUAUGUAAGGUGCUAUCGAAGAGUCGAGUUGUUUGGGAAUGCAGCUCUAAGUGGGUGGUAAAUUCCAUCUAAAGCUAAAUAUUGGCGAGAGACCGAUAGCGAACAAGUACAGUGAUGGAAAGAUGAAAAGAACUUUGAAAAGAGAGUGAAAAAGUACGUGAAAUUGUUGAAAGGGAAGGGCAUUAGAUCAGACUUGGUGUUUUACGAUUAUCUUCUCUUCUUGAGUUGUGCACUCGUAUUUCACUGGGCCAGCAUCGAUUCGGAUGGUAAGAUAAUGACAGUUGAACGUGGCUCCAUUCGUGGAGUGUUAUAGCUUCUGUUGAUAUUGCCUGUCUGGAUCGAGGGCUGCGUCUUUUGACUAGGAUGCUGGCGUAAUGAUCUAAUG
This is a ribosomal RNA of 534 nucleotides. It matches the Rfam family "Eukaryotic large subunit ribosomal RNA", at positions 95 to 644 of the family's 3401-position model.